RNAcentral lists this ribosomal RNA (377 nucleotides) under uncultured bacterium. Its description in RNAcentral is "bacterial SSU rRNA". It matches the Rfam family "Bacterial small subunit ribosomal RNA", at positions 523 to 898 of the family's 1533-position model. The record is from RNAcentral.
AUACGUAGGGGGCGAGCGUUGUCCGGAAUUACUGGGUGUAAAGGGCGUGUAGGCGGGGAUGCAAGUUAUCGGUAAAAACCCGGGGCUCAACCUCGGGCUUGCCGGUAAAACUGUAUCUCUUGAGUAUAGGAGAGGGAAGUGGAAUUCCUGGAGUAGCGGUGAAAUGCGUAGAUACCAGGAGGAACACCAGUGGCGAAGGCGGCUUCCUGGCCUAUUACUGACGCUGAGGCGCGAAAGCUAGGGUAGCGAACGGGAUUAGAUACCCCGGUAGUCCUAGCCGUAAACGAUGGUCACUAGGUGUGGGUGGUGGUCAAGCCAUCCGUGCCGGAGCUAACGCAAUAAGUGACCCACCUGGGGAGUACGGCCGCAAGGUUGAA